AUUGAACGCUGGCGGCAUGCCUUACACAUGCAAGUCGAACGGUAACGGGCCUUCGGGUGCCGACGAGUGGCGAACGGGUGAGUAAUACAUCGGAACGUGCCCGAUCGUGGGGGAUAACGAGGCGAAAGCUUUGCUAAUACCGCAUACGAUCUACGGCUGAAAGCAGGGGACCGCAAGGCCUUGCGCGGACGGAGCGGCCGAUGGCGGAUUAGGUAGUUGGUGGGAUAAAAGCUUACCAAGCCGACGAUCUGUAGCUGGUCUGAGAGGAUGAUCAGCCACACUGGGACUGAGACACGGCCCAGACUCCUACGGGAGGCAGCAGUGGGGAAUUUUGGACAAUGGGCGCAAGCCUGAUCCAGCCAUGCCGCGUGCAGGAUGAAGGCCUUCGGGUUGUAAACUGCUUUUGUACGGAACGAAAAGCCUUCGUUUAAUACAGGAGGGUCAUGACGGUACCGUAAGAAUAAGCACCGGCUAACUACGUG
RNAcentral lists this ribosomal RNA (482 nucleotides) under uncultured bacterium. RNAcentral describes it as "partial 16S ribosomal RNA". It matches the Rfam family "Bacterial small subunit ribosomal RNA", at positions 30 to 507 of the family's 1533-position model. The record is from RNAcentral.